CGCCAUCCCUGCCCGCCUUCGGCAGCGCAGCCGCGCCGGAGCGUUGCCCUUUUAAGCUGUGGCCCCAUCGCCUCCUCCCCGGCUCCCGGAGGGGCUCCGGAUCCUCCGCGACCUCCCUCCUCCUCCUCCUCCUCCUCUUCUCCUCCUCCUCCUCCUCCCCCCGCGGCAGCUGCGGGCCGGGGCUGGGGCGCGGGAGCCGGGAGCCCCGGGGUGAGCCGGGCUGGCCCUGCCCGCGCUGCUCGGGGACCAUGGGAUGCUGCACCGGGCGCUGCACCCUCAUCUUCCUCUGCGCUUUGCAGCUGCUUGCUGCAUUAGAGAGGCAAGUGUUCGAUUUCCUGGGAUACCAGUGGGCCCCUAUCCUAGCCAACUUCCUCCACAUCAUCAUCGUUAUCCUUGGCCUGUUUGGCACUAUUCAAUACAGACCUCGCUACAUCGUGGUGUAUGCCAUCUGGACUGCGGUUUGGGUCACCUGGAACAUCUUCAUCAUCUGUUUUUACUUAGAAGUGGGAGGGCUCUCAAAGGACAGUGAACUAUUGACAUUCAACAUUUCCCGGCACCAAUCAUGGUGGAGUGAAAAUGGUCCUGGCUGUGUAAAGAAGGAGGCUUCAAUGUCUGGCAUCAAAGGGCUGGAUGGCCAUUCCUACAUCUCUGUGAUAGGCUGUGCCUUGGAGUACCGCUACAUCGAGGUGAUGCACAGCUCCUUCCAGAUCCUGAUCGCGCUGGUGGGCUUUGUCUACGCCUGUUACGUUGUUAGUGUUUUCACAGAAGAAGAAGACAGCUUUGAUUUCAUUGGUGGAUUUGAUCCAUUUCCUCUCUACCAUGUCAAUGAAAAACCCACCAACCUUUUGUUCAAGCAGACAUACCUGUAGACAUUUGCCCAAACAAACAAUUUGCUGAAUACCAACAUGAGUUUGCAAACUCUUUUGACCAACCUGAAGCUGCAUCUUUAAGAGGCCUGCAUAAGUAAAGAGGAUCCAGAGGAUGGAUAAACCUUGCACUCCAAAGGUGCUGCAGGAAACAAUGCCCUGUGGCCUGGAUCUUUGGCAGAGGAAAUGCAGGAUGGUGAACUCCAUUCCAUUUGUUUUCCUUGUCUUCUUUCCAACUGCAAUGAAUGUACAUUGAAGAAUGGCCAUGAGGUUGGGGCUUAAUUCUCCAAGUGCCCUGAUGAACCAUUCCUACCAUAGUCUGGUGGUACCAGCUGACAAACAGCACAGGCCUGAAGACCUCUAGCAGAACAUGUUCACCAAGAGCCUCUCUCAAGAGAUACAGGUGGAGUUGGAGCUGCUUCCUUGUGCCAUGGAUCCAUAAAGGAGGAAGCACUGCAUAAUACCCUGGGACAUUUCAUAUGUUCUGUAGUUAGUUUCUUCCCCUUGUUCUGAAAAGAGCCUAAAACCCCUAACACAACUUCAUGUUCUCCCUGCCUGGCUAGAACUAGGUGGGGGCUAUUUACAUUUGAGUUCUUUAGGCUUUUUGGGGUUUAAGUUAUAGAUGAGAACUCUUCCCUUCUCCCCUGCCCCACCCAGGACUCCCUUCCUCAUUCUCUAUUCUUUAGACAUGGUCAGCACCUUAGCAGUAGGUAUUUGUCCUGGAUUCCAGUGUUCAGUGACUUAACUCCUAUAAUGCUGAACAGCUAAAAACUAGCACAACCACCAAAUCUUUACUCAGCAUGGAGCUUCGCCCCAUUUCAACAUGCCAAGCCAUUCUCAGAGCAACUGUAACGUACUCUGGGUCUGCCCAUCUACAUAAAAUUAACACUGGCAUAGCCAUAUACACAGCUGAAGCCUGCUGCAGGACACUGGAAGAGGCCUAGUUCUUCAUGGAUCAUAGAUUUUUGUACCUGCCUUCUUCACCAAGCAGCCGCUCUUAUUCCAGGCACAAGACUGGCACCAUCCUGAUGGGUUUUCUUGUGACAGGAUAAUUUUGAGGGGAGGGAAUGGGCUGAGGGAAAGGGGGAAUAUAAGUGUAAUUAAGUUGCAUUAAUGAGCUGCAGCAAUUAAUAAAACAAUAAACAAUG
This is an RNA transcript of Pezoporus occidentalis (night parrot), 2014 nucleotides long. It is a transcript of the gene named sodium/potassium transporting ATPase interacting 4, with no coding region annotated. The record is from RefSeq and is a predicted model, not a curated record. The transcript is spliced from 8 exons. NCBI's taxonomy places the organism in Eukaryota, Metazoa, Chordata, Aves, Psittaciformes, Psittacidae.